UACAGAGGGUGCGAGCGUUGUUCGGAAUUAUUGGGCGUAAAGGGCGCGUAGGCGGUGCGGUAAGUCACCUGUGAAAUCUCCUGGCUCAACUGGGAGCUUGCAGGCGAAACUGCCGUGCUGGAGUGUGGGAGAGGUGCGUGGAAUUCCUGGUGUAGCGGUGAAAUGCGUAGAUAUCGGGAGGAACACCAGUGGCGAAGGCGGCACUCUGGGCCGGUACUGACGCUGAGGAGCGAAAGCGUGGGGAGCGAACAGG
RNAcentral lists this ribosomal RNA (253 nucleotides) under uncultured bacterium. RNAcentral's name for it is "partial 16S ribosomal RNA". It matches the Rfam family "Bacterial small subunit ribosomal RNA", at positions 524 to 776 of the family's 1533-position model. The record is from RNAcentral.